Molecule: ribosomal RNA, 253 nt
Filed under: bacterium
Lineage: Bacteria
Also listed under: 1 other name
Description: partial 16S ribosomal RNA
Rfam family: Bacterial small subunit ribosomal RNA
Source: RNAcentral
UACGAAGGUCCCGAGCGUUGUUCGGAAUCACUGGGCGUAAAGGGAGCGUAGGCGGCGUGGUAAGUCAGAUGUGAAAUCCCGGGGCUCAACCCCGGAACUGCAUCCGAUACUGCCGUGCUAGAGUGAUGGAGAGGUAGCUGGAAUUCACGGUGUAGCAGUGAAAUGCGUGGAUAUCGUGAGGAACACUCGUGGCGAAAGCGAGCUACUGGACAUUUACUGACGCUGAGGCUCGAAGGCCAGGGUAGCGAAAGGG